UACGAAGGGGGCUAGCGUUGUUCGGAUUUACUGGGCGUAAAGCGCGCGUAGGCGGACAUCUAAGUCAGGGGUGAAAUCCCAAGGCUCAACCUUGGAACUGCCUUUGAUACUGGGUGUCUGGAGUUCGGGAGAGGUGAGUGGAAUUCCGAGUGUAGAGGUGAAAUUCGUAGAUAUUCGGAGGAACACCAGAAGCGAAGGCGGCUCACUGGCCCGAAACUGACGCUGAGGCGCGAAAGCGUGGGGAGCAAACAGG
RNAcentral lists this ribosomal RNA (253 nucleotides) under uncultured bacterium. RNAcentral's name for it is "partial 16S ribosomal RNA". It matches the Rfam family "Bacterial small subunit ribosomal RNA", at positions 524 to 776 of the family's 1533-position model. The record is from RNAcentral.